Molecule: long non-coding RNA, 639 nt
Organism: Dendronephthya gigantea
Lineage: Eukaryota; Metazoa; Cnidaria; Anthozoa; Malacalcyonacea; Nephtheidae
Exons: 2
Source: RefSeq, a predicted model, not a curated record
GUUUUUGAAUAGUGCUGAAGGAAGCUAGGAAGCCGAAACGUCAGUAUUGUCUCGGGUUAAACCAAAGAAGAACUUAGCGUCACGUCGGUGAAGCAGCAGACGAACAAUUCAUUUGGACAAUUCAUUUUGACAAUUUCGCCUUUCGUCAUGAAAAUCUUCGCUUUCUCAAUCGUGUUGCUCCUUAUCGUCUCUCUUCAACAAACACAAGCUGUGGCUCGGUUUUUCGUAAUCUUUGUGCGUCUGGGUUACAAGUUGAUUAAGAAUAUGCAUUACGCCAAAUGCAAUACGCCUAAAGUUCCUUCUCAUAUGAAUUGCCCUGGAGUCGUUCUCGGAUUUGGCCCGACGAAAAAAAUAGCCAAAAAGUUCGCAAGAGUCGACGCAGAGUUGAGAGGAGAUAAAGGUUGUGCUCGUUAUGUCGCACAUUGUCACGUAAAGAAAUUCUUUAAGUGAUGGCAUCAUUGGCAUGCUGUUUAAUGAUAAUGGAAAACGCUGGAUUUCGAUUUAUUAUUACUGGACUGUAGAAUGAAGAACAUUAAUUAACGAUAAUCGUAAUAAGUUUAAUAACUGUUUAUUUUUGUCUUUUAUUACUAAGCAUAUCAUGUAAAAGCAAUGAGAAAUAAAAAUGUUUUGUUUGCAUUA